UAAAACCAGCACCUCAAGUGGUCAGGAUGAUUAUUGGACCUAAAGCAUCCGUAGCCGGCUCUGUAAGUUUUCGGUUAAAUCUGUACGCUUAACGUACAGGCUGCCGGGAAUACUGCAGAACUAGGGAGUGGGAGAGGUAGACGGUACUCGGUAGGAAGGGGUAAAAUCCUUUGAUCUAUCGAUGACCACCUGUGGCGAAGGCGGUCUACCAGAACAUGUCCGACGGUGAGGGAUGAAAGCUGGGGGAGCAAACCGGAUUAGAUACCCGGGUAGUCCCAGCUGUAAACUAUGCAAACUCAGUGAUGCGUUGGCUUGUGGCCAACGCAGUGCUGCAGGGAAGCCGUUAAGUUUGCCGCCUGGGAAGUACGUACGCAAGUAUG
Molecule: ribosomal RNA, 380 nt
Filed under: uncultured crenarchaeote
Lineage: Archaea; Thermoproteati; Thermoproteota
Description: bacterial SSU rRNA
Rfam family: Archaeal small subunit ribosomal RNA
Source: RNAcentral